AUAGUUUUAAUAAAGCAAAUGGUGGAUGCCUUGGUUGCUAAAGCCGAAGAAGGACGUGGGAGACUGCGAAAAGUGUCGAGAAGCUGUCAACAAGCUGUGAUCCGACAAUGUCCGAAUGGAGCAAUCCACUCUGUAGUAAUGCAGAGGAGGCUGGUAUUUAUACCGGCCGGGUAAGCCUGGGAACUGAAACAUCUAAGUACCAGGAGGAAAAAAAAUCGUAUGAGAUUCCGUUAGUAGCGGUGAGCGAAAGCGGAAAAGCCUAAACCCCGAUUUAUCGGGGGGUUGCAGGGUCCAAAAUAACGACCUUGAAGAUUAAAAGAAGCUUCUGGAAUGGAGCGCCAAAGUGGGUGAAAGCCCCGUAUUGUAAAAUCGAGUAAAGGUAGGUUUGGAUACCUAAGUACCACGGGACACGCGAAAUGCCGUGGGAAUCUGGGGAGACCAAUCUCUAAGGCUAAAUACUUUAGCAGACCGAUAGUGAACUAGUACCGUGAGGGAAAGGUGAAAAAAACCCUUGAUUAAGGGAGUGAAAAGAUCUGAAACCAUUUGCUAACAAACAGACAAAGAGGACUUGUUCCUUGAUGUCGUGCCUAUUGAAGAAUGAGCCUGCGAGUGUUCUCAAUUAUCAAGUUUAACCCGGCCAAGCCGGGGAAGGCGUAGCGAAAGCGAGUCUGAAUAAGGCGAUUAGGUAAUUGGGGAUGACCCGAAACCGCUUGAGCUAACCAUGGACAGGGUGAACGGCAAUGAAAGUUGUCGGAAAGCCCGUACCGAUUACUGCUGCAAAAGUAUCGGACGAUCUGUGGUUAGGGGUAAUAUGCCAAUCGAAAGCGGAUAUAGCUGGCUCUCUCCGAAAUAUAUAUAGGUAUAGCGUCUAGUGUUUAAUAGCGGGGGUAGAGCUACUGGAUGAAUGUUUCUGGCGCAAGUCAGGGCAUUUAACUAAACUACGAAUACCGCUAUUCCAAGCUAGGCAGUCAGUCCGUCCGGGCUAAGCUGGAUGGGCAAGAGGGGAAGACCCCAGACUAUCAUCUAAGGUCUCUAAAUCUAUGCUAAGUGGGAAAGGUGGUGAAGCACCUAAGACAGACAGGAGGUUGGCUCAGAAGCAGCCAUCCUUUAAAGAAAGCGUAAUAGCUCACUGUUCGACUCUGAUUUAUCAGGGUCGGUGCUUUGCGCCUAAAAUGUAACGAGGCUAAAGCAUAGUACCGAAGUUGUAGACUUUUUCCGUUUAUUCGGAAGGAGUAGUAGGAGAGCGUUCUAGUUGCAGUGAAGGUCAAGGCGGAAGCCAGGCUGGAGCGGCUAGAAGUGAGAAUGCAGGCAUGAGUAACGAAACUCGAGUGAGAACCUCGAGCGCCGAAACACCUAAGGUUUCCUCAGCUACGUUGUUCGACUGAGGGUCAGGCGAUCCUAACACGAGGCCCUAAUUAAUAGGGGCGUAGUGGAUGGACAACCGGUUAAUAUUCCGGUCCUGUUUUUUAUUCGUUAUUACUUGGGGCGUUACGAUGUAUGGUAAAUCUGGUCUGGCAGUGAAAUCGCCAGAUUUAAGCGAGGUAGUAAGGAGGGAUAGGAAAAUCCGUUCUUCCGUUAUAAAACGAUGCGCGAAUAAGACUCCGGUGCAAAUCGGGGAAUCAGAUCGAGUCCAUGUAUCCGAGAAACGCGUCGCAAGGAGAAUAAAGAAUAUUCGUACUAAAACCGACACUGGUGGGUGGGUCGAGUAGACCUAGGCGAUUGGAAGAAAGAUAGUUCAGGAACUUGGCAAAUUAGCUGGGUGUAAGCUAUGCAAGAUACCCUGCCCCGAUUAACCUCGGGGUUACAACAAAAGAAUACACGGCGACUGUUUAUCAGAAACACAGGUCCAUGCUAACCCGUAAGGGGAUGUAUAUGGGCUGAAACCUGACCGGUGCCAGAAGGUUAAAAGAGAGAGUGAUUGUCGCAAGACAUGAGCUUUCGAUACAAGCCCUGGUGAACGUCAGCAGUAACUCUAACUGUUCUAAGGUAGCGAAGUCCUUUGUCGGGUAAGUUCCGACGCGUAUGAAAGGUUUAACGACCGUGUAACUGUCUUAACUAUCUAUCCAGUGAAAUUGAAAGAGCGGUGAAGAUGCCGUUUAACCACUACAGGACAAAAAGACCCCAUGAAGCUUUACUGGAUCUUUACAUUGACAAGGAUUUGAUGAUUGUCGAGCGUAGGAGGGAGCCUUCGGGCGCCAAUGGAACACCUCCCUUUGUCAUUUUUGAGUCUAACCUCAACAAUGAAUCUUGAUUGAGAGACAGUGUAUGGUUGCUAGUUUGCCUGGGGCAGGCACCUGCAAAAAAGUAACGCGGGUAUACAAAGGUUGACUUGGUCCGGCAAGAAAUCGGACUAUAAGUACAAAAGCAUAAGUCAGCUUGACUGUGAGACUUACUAGUCGAAUCCACCUUAUGGUGGAGUUCCGUACAAUUUGAUAACGGAAACAGGGUCGAAAGACGGUUUUAGUGAUCCUCGUGACUCAUUUGGUAUGAGCACGGGCUUACUGGAUAAAAGCUACUCUGGGGAUAACAGGCUAGUCGCAUCCGAUAGUUCAUAUUGACGAUGCGGUUCGGCACCUCGAUGUCGACUUGGCGCAUCCUGGCCCUGAAGAAGGGGCCAAGGGUUGGUCUGUUCGCCCAUUAAAGCGCUGCGUUAGUUGGGUUCAGAGCGUCGCGAGACAGCUCGGUCUCUAUCCGUAGUGGUCGUUGGAAUUUUGAAGGGAUUCGUCUACAGUACGAGAGGACCUAGACGAGGGAACCUCUAGUGUGCCAGUUGUUCCGUCAGGAGCAUCGCUGGGUAGCUACGUUCUUAUAAGAUAACUGCUGAAAGCAUCUCAAGCAGGAAGCUGACCCUAAGAUUAGAAUUCCUAUUCCGGCGCAAGUCGGAAGAGAGAUCUCCGGGAGACUACCGGAUAAUACUUUACGUGUGGAAGGUCUGUGAGGGCUUAAGCUAAGUAAAGGAUAGAUCGAAGAAACUUUUCAA
This 2980-nucleotide ribosomal RNA is filed under the name Candidatus Shapirobacteria bacterium. Its description in RNAcentral is "bacterial LSU rRNA". It matches the Rfam family "Bacterial large subunit ribosomal RNA". The record is from RNAcentral. Lineage: Bacteria; Candidatus Shapironibacteriota.